GAAUAUUCAGACUUGCCUUUGAGAAUUGAUUAGCCGACUCUAUUGUUAUUGUUGUAAGCUGCUGUCCAGAUUGAGCAGAAUGUUUCUGUUGAAAAACAUCAUCCAAGUUUGAGCAGAAUAUCAUCCCUGUUGUAAUUUCCUAGCUGUUAGCUACUGAUUUCCUAGCUGUCCAGAUUUUCAUUUCUGUUCUGUUCUUUAUCACAAAAUUUCCUAGCUGCUGUCCAGAUUUUCAUUUCUGUUCAGUGUGAUAUGUAUCCAUCCUGUGUACACUGGCUGCUAUGGAUUUUUUUUGCUCUGAAGAUGUUGUUCCACUGGCUGCUAUGGAUUUUUUUUGCUCUGAAGAUGUUGUUUCUUAGAGUGAUCUAUAUGCAUUUGCAGCUUUAUGAUGUGUCAUUAUAUUAGAUGGUCUGUAAUUACACAAUGUUGCGAUAGUAUCAAGAUCUCAG
This 446-nucleotide long non-coding RNA is filed under the name Nicotiana benthamiana. RNAcentral describes it as "long non-coding RNA (NBEN_LNC029703)". Lineage: Eukaryota; Viridiplantae; Streptophyta; Magnoliopsida; Solanales; Solanaceae. The record is from RNAcentral.